GGAAGGAUCAUUAACACUUUCAAACAAAUUUAACUAAUAUCUCCCAGUGAACUUGUCUUUAGGCUAUAUACUAUUCCCGGUUGGAGGUAUAAAAACCCAUUUCAUAAUGGUUCCUCCAAUGGGAUUUUCAUGUCUCGAAUUUACAAUACCAAUACCAUGUGAAAUAAAAAUAAAAAUACAUUUCAAUAUAUUCUGGAAUACAUUUGUUGCGUGGAAACACGCUCAAAUAUAUAUUAAUAACAAACUUUACAACUCUUAGCAACGGAUAUCUCGGUUCUCGUAACGAUGAAGAACGCAGCAAACUGCGAUAAGUAAUGCGAAUCGCAGAGCUCAGUGAAUCAUCGAAUCUUUGAACGCAUACUGCACUCCGGGGCUUUUGCCGACCGGAGUAUGCUUCUUUGAGUAUCGCUUCCACCAAUAAGACAUUUGAGCCUCUCUCAAAUGAUUCGACUUAUGAGUCUUUGUAUAUUUUUUUUAUACAUGACUUGAAAUAUAAUAUGCGUUUUUUUACCGUUUCGUAUAAAAACCAAAAUCAAUUUUAUUAAUUGAUGUAUGGUAAGCACUCGAAUAUAGAGUCUGUACAUUGAUUUUAUUGGUCUUGGGUCGAAUGUUAGAGUAAAGGGACAAUGCGUAUUUUUUCUCAAGGAAAUUAUUAUUUCUUCUAAUUUGAUCUCAAAUGAAGCAAGACUACCCGCUGAAUUUAAGCAUAUUAUUAAGCGGAGGAAAAGAAACUAACAAGGAUUCCCCUAGUAACUGCGAGUGAAGCGGGAAAAGCUCAACCCGGAAAUCAGGUUGCCUAGCGGUGACUCUGAAUUGUGGGCUAGAGGCAUACGAUCAGUCCGUGGGUCAGGUAUAAAUUCUUUGGAACAAGAUAUCAUAGAGGGUGACAAUCCCGUCUGUGACCUGAAGCACGCGGCGUCAAUGACGUGUGUCCUGAGAGUAGGGUAGCUUGGGAGUGUUGCCCGAAGUGGGUGGUAAAUUCCAUCCAAAGCUAAAUAUCGACGAGAGACCGAUAGCGAACAAGUACCGUGAGGGAAAGAUGAAAAGAACUUUGAAAAGAGAGUCAAAAGUCCUUGAAAUUGCUAAGAGGAAAGCACUGGCAACCAGUAGUUAUAGCCAAAAGCUAUAUGCCCAGUUUUGCUCGGGUCUAUCGCUGCGUCUGGUGACUCUUGUCUAGGGAGCACCAUGAUUGUUGUGUAUUAUAUGGCUCAAGUAAUCUGGACACAGUAGUUUGCGGCCUAGUCAAGAUCAAUUAGCUUAUUUGAACUCCUGUUACAGGGAGGACGCAAGAGAAACCCGCUGAGGAGGUAUCUCAUUCAUUAUGCCUUCGGGUGUAGUGUUUGUUUGUUAUAUCUUGGCGGAAUCAAUAAUCUUGUGGGGCUGAUUGAGGUCAUUCGACGAAUGAUAGUCUCUGCACCACUUUUGCAAGAGAGUGGUAUGGUUCGCUCGGUCCCUGUUCUAUUAUUCGGUUCGGAAGUCAAAGACUUGCGGCCGGAGAAGUGGGAUACUGGAUUGGGAUAGAACACAUGUGGGGUAACAAUGAUCUUGACGAAAUGGUUCUCAGUGACCCGUCUUGAAACACGGACCAAGGAGUCUAACAUAUAUGCGAGUAUUGGGAUGCUUCAAAUCCACAGUGCGUAAUGAAAGUGAAGGUAUGAACUUUUUCGAAAGUUCGUGCUGAGAUAGGAACCGGGUGUCUGCUGAUAUCCUGGUGCACUAUCGCCCGAAUCUAUCAUUUAUGAAAGGUUUGAGGAAGAGCAUAUCUGUUAGGACCCGAAAGAUGGUGAACUAUGUCUGACCAGGGUGAAGCCAGGGGAAACUCUGGUGGAGGCUCGUAGCGAUACUGACGUGCAAAUCGUUCGUCUGAGUUGGAUAUAGGGGCGAAAGACUCAUCGAACCAUCUAGUAGCUGGUUCCCUC
RNAcentral lists this unclassified non-coding RNA (1919 nucleotides) under uncultured fungus. RNAcentral's name for it is "sequence contains 18S rRNA gene, ITS1, 5.8S rRNA gene, ITS2, 28S rRNA gene". The stretch from base 668 to 1919 matches the Rfam family "Eukaryotic large subunit ribosomal RNA", at positions 1 to 961 of the family's 3401-position model. Lineage: Eukaryota; Fungi. The record is from RNAcentral.